This 766-nucleotide long non-coding RNA is filed under the name Fukomys damarensis (Damara mole-rat). RNAcentral describes it as "lncRNA (ENSFDAG00000032679.1)". The record is from RNAcentral. Lineage: Eukaryota; Metazoa; Chordata; Mammalia; Rodentia; Bathyergidae.
UUCUUGUCUUUGAAGCUAGAAAACCAGUGGAUGCAAGAGUAAAGGAAGCAGCUUUUGUUCUAGAAAAAGCCAACGAUGUCCACAUGCUAUUGGAAAUACCAUCUUCUAGAAGAUGAAUAGUAAUUAUGCUCAACACAUAGAAGGAAAAAUCAUGGCUCAAAGAAUGAUCUUCCGGGGGAAGAGCUGUGUAAAUGUGAAGGUGAAAACUUGGCCAUUACCACCUGCGUUUCAGCAAGGGCUGCGCACCCGGCUCUGGCUGCUCUGCAUUUAUCUGCUUAGAGUGCCAUCUCUGCGGCUCCUCGCCACGGUCCCGCUUAUCUGCGGCUGCUUUUGGGCUCUGGUCUUUAUUUCCCUCCUGUAUUCCACCUCUGCUCGCCUGCCUGCCUCCCAUUAGAAAGACACAAUGCACAGAGGUUACCUACAGAAGGACCACUCCACAGACGUGUGGACCAUCAGCAUCCCGGGCUCGAGGGGACAAGACAAGGGCUGUGCACACUCAUGUCCUGAAAUGUGGAGUGGGGGAAACGCGGUGCCUCAUACCCGACGACAUCAUGACACUCCCCCGACAGGCACUAAUGCUUAAAAGGAGUAUGAGGAGCCCACACAAACGGUCAGAGAUUGAGGAAGAACACGAAGCUCUCACUGGCCACUCUUCUCUCACUCAGCACCAUGGCUUGGAUAUGGAUCUCCUUGGGAAGGAGAAGAUAGGAAAAGUUUGCAGAGAAAGAUACAUAAAAUCAGAACACAGAAAUAAUGUAACCCAGCU